Molecule: long non-coding RNA, 285 nt
Filed under: Rosa chinensis
Lineage: Eukaryota; Viridiplantae; Streptophyta; Magnoliopsida; Rosales; Rosaceae
Description: sRNA RchiOBHm_Chr4g0435711
Source: RNAcentral
GUAUUCAAGCAUUCUUCUGGUCUUCUUCAAAAACUUGGUAGUGCAGCAUCGUUCUCCAAUUCUAAAAGGUUUUGGGCGUAAGGUGAUAUCCUGGAGGGCUGGAGGAGUUUUAAACGGAAAUGUUAUGCAAAGCGUUGAUCAAGAAGAUGAACGAUUGAGAAGUUUGAAAGACGAGUUGGGUGUUCAAGCUUACAAGCUAAUAUUGAAUACACUCUAGUCCAUCUACUUAGCAUUUAGUUGCAAAUUUGUAUUGACCUUAAUACAUUUUGUGUAAUGUUUCCCAUU